AUGGACGUGGCGGUGGCGGUGCGGCAGGUGAUGCCAACGUCGUCAAUCAAGCUGGAGGACGGCGUGGCGCCUGAGGUUGCAGUGGACAUGGAUGUGCACCGCCGCGUCCUCGUCGACAUCGGCAAGAGCGUCUACGACAGGAGCAAGCAGCGCUGCCUUAAAACUCCGUGCAUCGCCGGAGGGCCGUACAGCGGCGGCCUCCGGGGAUGCAACCCACGUUACGGGUGCGCCCCUAAGUAA
This 240-nucleotide ribosomal RNA is filed under the name Triticum aestivum (bread wheat). RNAcentral's name for it is "partial small subunit ribosomal RNA". Lineage: Eukaryota; Viridiplantae; Streptophyta; Magnoliopsida; Poales; Poaceae. The record is from RNAcentral.